RNAcentral lists this ribosomal RNA (483 nucleotides) under uncultured bacterium. Its description in RNAcentral is "partial 16S ribosomal RNA". It matches the Rfam family "Bacterial small subunit ribosomal RNA", at positions 28 to 523 of the family's 1533-position model. The record is from RNAcentral.
GACGAACGCUGGCGGCGUGCCUAACACAUGCAAGUCGAACGAGGUCCAAGGGAGCUUGCUCCCUGAAGACCUAGUGGCGAACGGGUGAGUAACACGUGAGAAACCUGCCCUCGAGUGGGGAAUAACCCGGGGAAACCCGGGCUAAUACCGCAUACGCUCCUCUGGUCGCAUGGCCGGAGGAGGAAAGUUUUUCGCUCAAGGAGGGUCUCGCGGCCUAUCCGCUUGUUGGCGGGGUAACGGCCCACCAAGGCUACGACGGGUAGCUGGUUUGAGAGAACGAUCAGCCACACUGGGACUGAGACACGGCCCAGACUCCUACGGGAGGCAGCAGUGGGGAAUCUUGCGCAAUGGGCGAAAGCCUGACGCAGCAACGCCGCGUGCGGGAUGACGGCCUUCGUGGUUGUAAACCGCUUUCAGCAGGGACGAAAAUGACGGUACCUGCAGAAGAAGCUCCGGCUAACUACGUGCCAGCAGCCGCAGUAA